UGAGUAGGCGGUUGCAUAUGUCAGAUGUAAAAGGCACAGGCUCAACUUGUGUUAGCAUUUGAAACUGUGCGACUUGAGUGCAGGAGAGGUAAGUGGAAUUCCUAGUGUAGCGGUGAAAUGCGUAGAUAUUAGGAGGAACACCAGUGGCGAAGGCGACUUACUGGACUGUAACUGACGCUGAGUCACGAAAGCGUGGGUAGCAAACAG
Molecule: ribosomal RNA, 207 nt
Filed under: uncultured Eubacteriales bacterium
Lineage: Bacteria; Bacillati; Bacillota; Clostridia; Eubacteriales
Description: uncultured Clostridiales bacterium partial 16S ribosomal RNA
Rfam family: Bacterial small subunit ribosomal RNA
Source: RNAcentral